CACGUAGGGUGCGAGCGUUGUCCGGAAUUAUUGGGCGUAAAGAGCUCGUAGGCGGUGUGUCGCGUCGGCCGUGAAAACUUGCAGCUUAACUGUGGGCGUGCGGUCGAUACGGGCAUCACUGGAGUUCGGCAGGGGAGACUGGAAUUCCUGGUGUAGCGGUAAAAUGCGCAGAUAUCAGGAGGAACACCGGUGGCGAAGGCGGGUCUCUGGGCCGAUACUGACGCUGAGGAGCGAAAGCGUGGGGAGCGAACAGG
This 254-nucleotide ribosomal RNA is filed under the name uncultured bacterium. RNAcentral's name for it is "partial 16S ribosomal RNA". It matches the Rfam family "Bacterial small subunit ribosomal RNA", at positions 524 to 776 of the family's 1533-position model. The record is from RNAcentral.